RNAcentral lists this ribosomal RNA (340 nucleotides) under uncultured soil bacterium. RNAcentral describes it as "bacterial SSU rRNA". It matches the Rfam family "Bacterial small subunit ribosomal RNA", at positions 26 to 363 of the family's 1533-position model. The record is from RNAcentral.
AGAGUGAACGCUGGCGGCAGGCCUAAUACAUGCAAGUCGAACGGCAGCACGGCAGAGCUUGCUCUGUGGGUGGCGAGUGGCGGACGGGUGAGGAAUACAUGGGAAUCUGCCCAGUCGUGGGGGAUAACGUAUGGAAACGUACGCUAAUACCGCAUGCGCCCUUCGGGGGAAAGCCGGGGACCUUCGGGCCUGGCGCGAUUGGAUGAGCCCAUGUCGGAUUAGCUAGUUGGCGGGGUAACGGCCCACCAAGGCGACGAUCCGUAGCUGGUCUGAGAGGAUGAUCAGCCACACUGGACUGAGACACGGCCCAGACCUCCUACGGGAGCAGCAGUGGGGAAUA